RNAcentral lists this transfer RNA (76 nucleotides) under Acidobacteriota bacterium. RNAcentral describes it as "Acidobacteria bacterium tRNA-Phe". It matches the Rfam family "tRNA". From Rfam's summary of the family: Transfer RNA (tRNA) molecules are approximately 80 nucleotides in length. RNAcentral also lists the same sequence under 9 other names. Lineage: Bacteria; Pseudomonadati; Acidobacteriota. The record is from RNAcentral.
GGCCAGGUAGCUCAGCUGGUAGAGCAGCGGACUGAAAAUCCGCGUGUCGGCGGUUCGAUCCCGUCCCUGGCCACCA